This 273-nucleotide long non-coding RNA is filed under the name Oryza sativa Indica Group (long-grained rice). RNAcentral's name for it is "lncRNA OsGoSa_12g0011980". The record is from RNAcentral. Lineage: Eukaryota; Viridiplantae; Streptophyta; Magnoliopsida; Poales; Poaceae.
GAGGGCUUGACACGGCGCCUCCCACCACCACAUCCUCCUGCGUCGCUGCCUUCCACCGCAUCCGCUCGCGUCGCCGCCUCCUCUCGCUGUAGACACCGCCACCGCCUCACAUCGGAUCUGCCGGAGCAGCCACUUGUAGACGCAUCCGCGGCCGCCACUGACUUUCCCGGCGCCGCCUUCCUUCCUCCCAGUGCAGACAUCAGGGUUGAUAUACAUGAGAUUGGGUGCUUUUGUGAGGGACUUCUGUUUGCUGCACCAAGAAUGUUAUUGUGA